This is an RNA transcript of Mangifera indica (mango), 1476 nucleotides long. It is a transcript of the gene named eukaryotic translation initiation factor 2 subunit beta-like, with no coding region annotated. The transcript has 11 exons. The record is from RefSeq and is a predicted model, not a curated record. NCBI's taxonomy places the organism in Eukaryota, Viridiplantae, Streptophyta, Magnoliopsida, Sapindales, Anacardiaceae.
AGUUACAUUAGUUUAUUUUUUGUCUUUUGUCUACUCUGGAAUCCCCGACCGGAAUUCAUCGUAUUUGCUCUUUGAUUUGUUUGUUUCCGAAAUAAAGAGUUCUGGGUCGAGAGAAAUUGUCCGAAGAAAUGUUUGUAGAAGUGAAGGAAGACAUAUCAGAGACUGCUUCAUUUGAUCCUACUGGAAAGAAAAAGAAGAAGAAGAAGAAGGUGCAGCCUCAGGAUGAAUCUGAUGAUUUUGUGGAUAAUCUGUCUGACCAAACAGUGAACUUGACACUAGUUGAUGGAGCAGAGAGUUCCUCUAAAAAGAAUAAGAAGAAGAAGAAGAAGAGAACUGUGCAGCUUAAUUUCUUGCAUGAUGAAAAUGUCGAUCCAGAAUCGGAUUCUGAUGGUGAGGGAGGAGGAGAAGAGUUUGCCCUGUCUCAGAAUCCUUUGGAAGGAACUGAUAGAGAUUAUAGAUACGAAGAGCUUCUAAGUAGAAUGUUUAAUAUGCUCCGUGAGAACAAUCUCGAGCUUGCAGGAGAUAAGCACAGGACUGUUAUGAGACCUCCACAAAUCCUUCUAGAAGGCACAAAGAAGACCCUUUUUGUUAAUUUUAUGGAUCUUUGCAAAACGAUGCAUAGACAGGCAGAGGAUGUCAUGACCUUCUUACUAGCUGAAAUGGGGGCAAUUGGAUAUUUUGACAGGCAGCAGCAAUUGGUGGUGAAGGGUAGAUUUCCUCCUAAAAUCUUUGAAGGGAUUCUGCAUAGAUACAUAAAUGAAUAUGUAAUAUGUAAUGACUGCAAAAGUCCAAAUACGAUUCUUACAAGGGAGGAUUGUGUUUUCUUUCUCGGUUGUGAGCAGUGUGGUUCUGUCCAGUCUGUAGCUCCCAUAAAAGCCGGUUAUGUUACAAGGGUCGGACAUCAGAAUACCGGGACAUGAACCAUUUUCGCUGCUCUUGUUCUCAUGAGCCUUGUAAUGCCUCCAGAGUGAGCCAGACGUUCUUGAAGCGAUUACUGGUGGCCAUAGUCAAAGGUUCAUUAGCGUUAGACCGAUCAUAUGAUUACAUCUGCGAUAGUUACCAUGAUAGUAUGAUGUCAUUGUCAUUGCUGCUUUACUACAAGCUCUGGACUUGGAAGGAGUACGAAGGUGGUUUCCCAGCGUUUGCAGUACUCAUUAGAAGACAACCACAAAAAGUGCUAUGCAACUUGUUCUCUGGCUUCUGUGGACUUGCAUUUGCAGGCAUCACAAUCCUGAGUUCAGUUGUUACUGUUGUAAUUGUGACUAAAAUGUUUCUUGCUAUAUACAGGAUGCCUCCUUGAGAGGCUUCAUGAGCAUCUCUUACCCUCUGGUUUUCAGUUUACAAUCUUAAGCAGCUCAUAAAAAGGCAGAAAGAAGGAACUUUAUGACCUCUCUCUGUCACUGGGUUUGCAUCUCGUCAUAGAUUCUUGUAACCAUGAACUUGUGUGUCAAUAAAAACUCCCUUCUUGUUCUCAAA